ACGAGGGAUCCUAGCGUUGUUCGGAAUCAUUGGGCGUAAAGCGGGUGUAGGUGGACUUUUAAGUCAGGUGUGAAAUCCCAGGGCUCAACCCUGGAAGUGCACUUGAUACUGGAAGUCUUGAGUGUGGUAGAGGCUAUUAGAAUUCUUGGUGUAGUGGUGAAAUACGUAGAUAUCAAGAGGAAUACCGGAGGCGAAGGCGGAUAGCUGGGCCAACACUGACACUGAGACCCGAAAGCGUGGGGAUCAAACAGG
This 252-nucleotide ribosomal RNA is filed under the name uncultured bacterium. RNAcentral's name for it is "partial 16S ribosomal RNA". It matches the Rfam family "Bacterial small subunit ribosomal RNA", at positions 525 to 776 of the family's 1533-position model. The record is from RNAcentral.